AGUGAACGCUGGCGGUAGGCCUAACACAUGCAAGUCGAACGGCAGCACAGUAAGAGCUUGCUCUUCCGGGUGGCGAGUGGCGGACGGGUGAGGAAUACAUCGGAAUCUACUUUUUCGUGUGGGUUAACGUAGGUAAACUUACUCUCAUACCGCAUACGACCUACGGUUGAAAGCAGUGGAUCUUCUCACCUUGCGCGGUUGAAUGAGCCGCUGUCGGAUUAGCUAGUUGGCGGGGUAAAGACCCACCCAGGCGACGAUCCGUAGCUGGUCUGAGAGGAGGGUCGGCCACACUGGAACUGGGACAGGGUCAAGAGUCCUAAGGGAGGCAGCAGUGGGGAAUAUGAGACAGUGGGGGGAAGCAUGAUCCAGCCAGAGCGAGUGGGAGAAGAAGGCGUUGGGGUUGUAAAGACGGUUUGUUGGGAAAAAAAAGCAGCAGGUUAAGACCACGCUGGAGUGACGGUAACCAAAGAAGAAGCACCGGCUAACUUCGUG
RNAcentral lists this ribosomal RNA (492 nucleotides) under uncultured bacterium. Its description in RNAcentral is "partial 16S ribosomal RNA". It matches the Rfam family "Bacterial small subunit ribosomal RNA", at positions 29 to 507 of the family's 1533-position model. The record is from RNAcentral.